UGUGACUGCGUACCUUUUGUAUAAUGGGUCAGCGACUUAUAUUCUGUAGCAAGGUUAACCGAAUAGGGGAGCCGAAGGGAAACCGAGUCUUAACUGGGCGUUAAGUUGCAGGGUAUAGACCCGAAACCCGGUGAUCUAGCCAUGGGCAGGUUGAAGGUUGGGUAACACUAACUGGAGGACCGAACCGACUAAUGUUGAAAAAUUAGCGGAUGACUUGUGGCUGGGGGUGAAAGGCCAAUCAAACCGGGAGAUAGCUGGUUCUCCCCGAAAGCUAUUUAGGUAGCGCCUCGUGAAUUCAUCUCCGGGGGUAGAGCACUGUUUCGGCAAGGGGGUCAUCCCGACUUACCAACCCGAUGCAAACUGCGAAUACCGGAGAAUGUUAUCACGGGAGACACACGGCGGGUGCUAACGUCCGUCGUGAAGAGGGAAACAACCCAGACCGCCAGCUAAGGUCCCAAAGUCAUGGUUAAGUGGGAAACGAUGUGGGAAGGCCCAGACAGCCAGGAUGUUGGCUUAGAAGCAGCCAUCAUUUAAAGAAAGCGUAAUAGCUCACUGGUCGAGUCGGCCUGCGCGGAAGAUGUAACGGGGCUAAACCAUGCACCGAAGCUGCGGCAGCGACGCUUAUGCGUUGUUGGGU
This 637-nucleotide ribosomal RNA is filed under the name Escherichia coli. Its description in RNAcentral is "partial 23S ribosomal RNA". It matches the Rfam family "Bacterial large subunit ribosomal RNA", at positions 592 to 1229 of the family's 2925-position model. Lineage: Bacteria; Pseudomonadati; Pseudomonadota; Gammaproteobacteria; Enterobacterales; Enterobacteriaceae. The record is from RNAcentral.